AUAACCGCGAGACUUCGAGCGAGUGACCUUUUCCGCGCUGAUAAUAACCUCGUGUCCACGACCUUUUCCGCGUUUUCAGUAACCGCGAGGUUCCGCGCAAGUAAUCCUCUCCGCGUUCCCAAUAACCGCGAGGCUCUGGCAUUUUCUGGCCUUCUACAUCCGCGAAAGCAGCCUUUUUUUGCGCCUCAGCCUCGUAGAGGCAUCGUGUUCACUCGGCCCUCGGCAAGUGAUCAACGACAUCGCUACACGAUGAAGACUUGAAACGCUGUGAGCUCCCUUUUGUUUUGGUGUCGAUAAGUUGUCGCGAAACUGGUUUUUCGUUCGCAUCGUCGACCGAGACUCGAUACACCCGUCGAUUUGUGCGAUAAAAUGAUUUAGGAAAAUGAUGAAUGAAGGAGAGUAGAGGCCAGUAUCUCACGUACGCUAUCGUAGUUUUCAUUCUUGGAUUUUAUCACCUCUUGUUAUUGAGUGAACGCUUUCCCUAACCUAGUCUCAAAGUGAGGUUGGUUCUUGGACUUCAUUAAAGUGAUCGUCGGAACGUUUGCGAGGAACUUUUUCUUCGAAUCGCUGAAACUUGAUUCGUGCUUCCUGUGAAGUUUGCCGUUCUUUAAUUCGUUCUGUGAAGCGGUAAAGUGUCUCGUUUGCGGAGUGUCAAUCUGCCUGUUUCUAGUGUAGGGUGGCGUUUCAGCCGCGCAAAAACUCGAUAGUCCGGUAAAUUGAUUUAGAGAAGAAAGCAAGUGUUGGGUGAUUUCCGUCUCCUGAGCACCGCGUUUUUGUUGGAUAAACUCACCUCUCAGCGACUGUUGGAAAGCCCAGGGAAUGAGGGAACGCAGUUUGCAGAUUUGGAUUGAAAAUUCCACGCGCCACUGGGACAUCAGUCGUAACACGGUUGACUCUUAUUCCCGAGUGCUCUCCGAAAUGCUUGUCAGAGUCGAUGUGUCCGACCAACCGUGCUCCCUUUCAAUCGAAUCGCGCGAAGCAGUUUUGACGAUUCAACAAGCUCCCUCAACUUGAAAAGUAUCGAGCACAACCACUUGCGACUUAUAUUUGUGAUUCGAAUAAUUAGUUGCAUUUCACACGAUCGUAUAGCUAACAGGGUUCUAUUUUAGCCUGUAGCUAAAAUGUUCCGCUAGGUCCUUAGUCUCGUCCAUUUUCCCAAAGCAAUCAUUCAGUACAAAUGACGGAAAUUUUCGAGGGCAAAUAUUUAUCGAUCCAGAUUCUAAACUCGUGCAAAUAAAACAAAUCGAUAAAGAGAUGCAAGAUUUUUCGCACCGAGGAAGGAAGUGAAGUAAUGUUAAUUAUGACAGAAAAGACGGCUUGAAUCGUAGAAAAUAAAACAAUUAACCUACGAUCCAAUUUGUUUUGCUCAACCAUUGCAUUUAAAUAGCAGUCUUAAUAUCUAAAGUUUUCUAACAAUUUUUCGUACCUGAAUCACCCGUAGUUUAAAUUCAAUUCGUUCUGACAGUCUCCAUAAUGUCCAAAACGCAUCAGAUCUUUUUCCGAGACACCUGCACUCUUCAAGAUAUUUUAUUUGAAUUGGCUAAAAGGCCGCUUCUCGCGCCCAAACCACCGGAAAAUGCUGCACUUUUGGGAAGAAAAACCGAACUUUCAGUGAUCGAAGAAGAUUCAAGUCUGGAAACUGACAACUGCCCUAGGUCUAAGAACUAAUGGAUUCUUUACUCUGAAUCCGAGGUGAGAUUACAAUGUGUUUAAAUAUUCUGUGCAGGAAAUCGUCAAAUGUUCAUAAUCGGACGUAAACCACAGUGUACAUGAUGAAGGCCCCUCCUUCGUGAUUAUCUUGAUUUUUUACGCCGUUAAUAUCCAAAUCAUUGAAAUUAGAACUAGUUUUGUUUUUAUUUAUUUAUUUUUCAAUUUUAAAAACGCAAAUGUACCCUUUUCCUCAGUUUACGACUUAGAAGCAUAACGCGGCUUUCGUAAAUCAACUUCACCUCUCAACCAAUCGCAGCUUUGGAUUUUGAAAAAGGAGGAGCCACCCACUCCAAAUCGACGUCAAACCGCGUGACAGAUUACUUAGAAAUAUAAAUUGAGAUGGAGACUGAUUUUGCGCCGCAAAUUGCGCAGUGUUAAAAGCAAGAUGAGAGCGUUCCCAAAACAGGAGACGGGUGUAUCCUGAGCACGCAGCUGAAUUCGCUUUCGUUUCAAUUGGUGCGGCCGGCAGAGAAGAAUCAUGACGUCAUC
Molecule: long non-coding RNA, 2199 nt
Filed under: Bemisia tabaci
Lineage: Eukaryota; Metazoa; Arthropoda; Insecta; Hemiptera; Aleyrodidae
Description: lncRNA ENSSSA1UGG002529
Source: RNAcentral